UUAAGUUCAGCGGGUAUUCCUACCUGAUCCGAGGUCAACCUUAGAAAGGAGUUUCCCAAUGAAGGGAGAAGACCGGAGCCUGGGUUCCCUUGAUCCGAUACGUGCUCAGUGAAGAAGCUCAGUGUACCGGGGGUUCCAACAGGCCGCCGUCAUUGUCUUUAGGAGGGAUGACGCCCAGAGGGCCUCAUCAAACCGUCCAA
Molecule: unclassified non-coding RNA, 200 nt
Filed under: Capronia sp.
Lineage: Eukaryota; Fungi; Ascomycota; Eurotiomycetes; Chaetothyriales; Herpotrichiellaceae
Description: partial internal transcribed spacer 2
Source: RNAcentral